GCGGUCGUGGCGGAAUUGGUAGACGCGCAGCGUUGAGGUCGCUGUGGGUGAUGAGCCCGUGGAAGUUCGAGUCUUCUCGACCGCACCA
This 88-nucleotide transfer RNA is filed under the name Magnetovibrio sp. Its description in RNAcentral is "tRNA-Leu". It matches the Rfam family "tRNA". Rfam says of the family: Transfer RNA (tRNA) molecules are approximately 80 nucleotides in length. Their secondary structure includes four short double-helical elements and three loops (D, anti-codon, and T loops). Further hydrogen bonds mediate the characteristic L-shaped molecular structure. tRNAs have two regions of fundamental functional importance: the anti-codon, which is responsible for specific mRNA codon recognition, and the 3' end, to which the tRNAs corresponding amino acid is attached (by aminoacyl-tRNA synthetases). tRNAs cope with the degeneracy of the genetic code in two manners: having more than one tRNA (with a specific anti-codon) for a particular amino acid; and 'wobble' base-pairing, i.e. permitting non-standard base-pairing at the 3rd anti-codon position. The record is from RNAcentral. Lineage: Bacteria; Pseudomonadati; Pseudomonadota; Alphaproteobacteria; Rhodospirillales; Magnetovibrionaceae.